Haplochromis burtoni (Burton's mouthbrooder) is the source of this 1865-nucleotide long non-coding RNA. RefSeq lists it as uncharacterized. The transcript has 3 exons. Lineage: Eukaryota; Metazoa; Chordata; Actinopteri; Cichliformes; Cichlidae. The record is from RefSeq and is a predicted model, not a curated record.
GGCUUCUGUGGGCGAGAAGAAGCAAAAAACACAUUUUGCAUUAGAGUAUGAUUUAUUGUUGGCGUCAGAGAUGCAAAAUAACGAAUACUUCAAUACUGUACUUAAGUAGAAUUUUCUGGUAUCUUUACUUUACUGCUGUACUUUUUUGUGCCUACUGUAUACUUCUUUAUACUUCUACUUCUCACAUUUUAGCACGCGUAUCUGUACUUUGUAAUCCGUACAUUUGUAAAUCAGCCCCCCGCACGCGUGCUUUGGACGCAAGAUUACUUCAAAAUUUUGUACAUAAAUUAUAUUUUAGACCCUGUACUUCUUACUUCGACUUGACUAAAAAGUCGAGUCGGUGCUUUUUAAACAGAGGUAUCUAAACUGUAGUAAGGAACGUGUGUACUUGUGACACCUUUGGUUAGCGUCAACACUGUAAAUUUCGUCACAAACAGAUUUAUAUAUUUAUCAAUACUUCUAUUCGUCAUUCUUUUCUGUACAGCUUUUUUAUUGCCCAGAUUUUAGUUAGCCUCUGUUCAAUUGACUGUUAUAUGUCAAUAGAAACAUGUCUCACAAAUUAAAGUGUCUUGUAAAAUAUUUGUGGGGUUUUUUUUUCAAGAAUUUUCUUCCCAAAUCUAUUACAUGCCAACUGUAAAUUGUUAUUUCUGCUAAAACCUUAACUUAAAUGUGUAUAUGGUGUUUAUCUGUUUCUCUCUCUGUUUUAGAUGCACACAUCAAUCUGGAAUUCGGCUUAAAGCCAGAAUUGCAGGAAUGCAACACGUGUUGCAGAGGACUCUUUCACUGCCCUCUGUGCCCCACUUUCAGCCCUACUGUCAGGGCAAAGAUUGAGGAGCAUCUAAGUGUGCAUAUAAAAAAUGCUUUGCCUUUCAAAGAUAAAAUGAUAUGCCGGUGCAGGCUGCCUUGUAGGACAACAGGACACUUUCACCGCCCUGUCUGUAAGAUUACAAUCAUACGGCGUGGGGAUAUGGCAAGGCAUUUAUUGUCUUGUCAGCAUUCUUCAAUGCCAAGUCAGCCACCAUUAUCAGGACUGCUCCCCGCUGAACUCUCCGAGGAGACCCGUAUUCCUCCGGCAGUACUCUUCGAGGAGCCCCGUCUCCCCCCCAAGGUUUUGUCUUCGGUAUCUGAACCAUUUUCUGAGUCUUUGUUAGAACAUUCAUUGCUCUACCCUCUGUGUUCAAUAAAACUGCAGCUGAUGGAAAGUCCAUGAAAAUGACAUGCCCUCACUGUGGCCUUACUCUUCGUAGCUCUGGCAAGCUAUUUGCACACUGGAGAGAGGAAGCCAAAGCUGUGCUUGAAGGACAACACGUGCCCAUUUUCAGACUGAAAAAGCGCAAGUUCCAGGAAGUCAGUCAGGAGCCAGCAGUUGUUGAAGAUCUGCGUCCUGCUGUGCAGUGGGCUGUCCAAAAUAAGGCACUUUUCCGUGGACACGUAACAAUGCCCAAAUAUCUGUCCUUAAAUCAAGGGGACCAGCAGAGGGUCUUAAGAGACAUGUCAGAGGAAGAAGACACUGGAGCAAGGGACUUGUUCCUCUUUGUUUUUCAGUUUGCAGAGGACAUGGAGCUCUUUUUGAAAGCAUGUGCUGAUGAGCAGGGGCUAAGGGUCAGUGCUAUGUUUGACAUGUAAUGGACAAAUGAAGGCACUGGCUGUUUGUUUGUUUGUUUAAUAUGUUGUUGUUUUUUUGUUUUGUUUUUGCGUAGUACAAAAUUCCAAUUAAACUUAUUUCAAAAUGUUGUUCACUUUAUUCUGUGUCCAUACUUAUAAUAAAGGAUUACAGUGUAACAGCAUUAAAUGUAAAUGUAACAGCAUUUUUUUUAAACUUGUAAUUUCAAAAUAAAAAGCUUAUUGUUGAUAUUAACAGUAAA